AACUGAAUUUUCCUUUAUAUCAGCAUUAGGGUUUUAAACCCUAAACUGAACUUUUUCCAUUCAGCCAGCAUUAGGGUUUUAAACCCUAAACUGAGCUUUUCCAUGCAAUUAGCAUUAGAGUUUUAAACCCUAAACUGAAUUUUCCUUUUAGUCAGCAUUAGGGUUUUAAACCCUAGACUGAACUUUUUCCUUUCAGCGAGUAUUAGGGUUUUAAACCCUAAACUGAGCUUUUCCAUGCAAUCAGCAUUAGGGUUUUAAACCCUAAACUGAAUUUUCCUUUUAGUUAGCAUUAGGGUUUUAAACCCUAAACUGAACUUUUUUCAUUCAGCCAGCACUAGGGUUUUAAACCCUAAACUGAGCUUUUCCAUGCAAUCAGCAUUAGGGUUUUAAACCCUAAACUGAGCUUUUCCAUGUAAUCAGCAUUAGGGUUUUAAACCUUAAACUGAAUUUUCCUUUAUAUCAGCAUUAGGGUUUUAAACACUAAACUGAACUUUUUCCAUUCAGCCAGCAUUAGGGUUUUAAACCCUAAACUGAGCUUUUCCAUGCAAUCAGCAUUAGGGUUUUAAACCCUAAACUGAAUUUUCCUAUUAGUCAGCAUUAGGGUUUUAAACCUUAAACUGAACUUUUCCUUUUAGUCAGCAUUAGGGUUUUAAACCCUAAACUGACAUUUUCCUUUUAGUCAGCAUUAGGGUUUUAAACCCUAAACUGAGCUUUUCCAUGCUAUCAGCAUUAGGGUUUCAAACCCUAAACUGAAUUUCCCUUUUAGUCAGCAUUAGGUUUUUAAACCCUAAACUGAACUUUUUUCAUUCAGCCAGCACUAGGGUUUUAAACCCUAAACUGAGCUUUUCCAUGCAAUCAGCAUUAGGGUUUUAAACCCUAAACUGAACUUUCCUUUUAGUCAGCAUUAGGGUUUUAAACCCUAAACUGAGCUUUUUCCAUACUAUCAGCGUUAGGGUUUUAAACCCUAAACUGAGCUUUUCCAUGCAAUCAGCAUUAGGGUUUUAAACCCUAAAUUGAACUUUCCUUUUAGUCAGCAUUAGGGUUUUAAACCCUAAACUGAACUUUUCCAUGCUAUCAGCAUUAGGGUUUUAAACACUAAACUGAGCUUUUCCAUGCAAUCCGCAGUAGGGUUUUAAACCCUAAACUGAACUUUUCCAUUCAGCCAGCAUUAGGGUUUUAAACCCUAAACUGAGCUUUCCUUUUAGUCAGCAUUAGGGUUUUAAACCCUAAACUGAACUUUUUCCUUUCAGCCAGCAUUAGGGUUUUAAACCCUAAACUGAGCUUUUCUAUGCUAUCAGCAUUAGGGUUUUAAACCCUAAGCUGAACUUUUCAUUUUUAGUCAGCAUUAGGGUUUUAAAACCCUAAACUGAACUUUUCCAUGUAAUCAGCAUUAGGGUUUUAAACCCUAAACUGAAUUUUCCUUUUAGUCAGCAUUAGGGUUUUAAACCCUAAACUGAACUUUUCCAUUCAGCCAGCAUCAGGGUUUUAAACCCUAAACUGAGCUUUUCCAUGCAAUCAGCAGUAGGGUUUUAAACCCUAAACUGAACUUUUCCAAUCAGCUAGCAUUAGGGUUUUAAACCCUAA
Molecule: long non-coding RNA, 1584 nt
Filed under: Nicotiana tabacum (common tobacco)
Lineage: Eukaryota; Viridiplantae; Streptophyta; Magnoliopsida; Solanales; Solanaceae
Description: long non-coding RNA (NTAB_LNC000757)
Source: RNAcentral